Molecule: ribosomal RNA, 434 nt
Filed under: Arthrobacter sp. Al-Dhabi-7
Lineage: Bacteria; Bacillati; Actinomycetota; Actinomycetes; Micrococcales; Micrococcaceae
Description: bacterial SSU rRNA
Rfam family: Bacterial small subunit ribosomal RNA
Source: RNAcentral
CGAACGAUGAUCUCCAGCUUGCUGGGGGGAUUAGUGGCGAACGGGUGAGUAACACGUGAGUAACCUGCCCUUGACUCUGGGAUAAGCCUGGGAAACUGGGUCUAAUACUGGAUACGACCUUCCAUCGCAUGGUGGUUGGUGGAAAGCUUUUGUGGUUUUGGAUGGACUCGCGGCCUAUCAGCUUGUUGGUGGGGUAAUGGCCUACCAAGGCGACGACGGGUAGCCGGCCUGAGAGGGUGGACGGCCACACUGGGACUGAGACACGGCCCAGACUCCUACGGGAGGCAGCAGUGGGGAAUAUUGCACAAUGGGCGCAAGCCUGAUGCAGCGACGCCGCGUGAGGGAUGAAGGCCUUCGGGUUGUAAACCUCUUUCAGUAGGGAAGAAGCGAAAGUGACGGUACCUGCAGAAGAAGCGCCGGCUAACUACGUGCCA